RNAcentral lists this ribosomal RNA (253 nucleotides) under uncultured bacterium. RNAcentral describes it as "partial 16S ribosomal RNA". It matches the Rfam family "Bacterial small subunit ribosomal RNA", at positions 524 to 776 of the family's 1533-position model. The record is from RNAcentral.
UACGUAGGGAGCAAGCGUUAUCCGGAAUUAUUGGGCGUAAAGAGCUCGUAGGCGGUUUGUCGCGUCUGCCGUGAAAGUCCGGGGCUCAACUCCGGAUCUGCGGUGGGUACGGGCAGACUAGAGUGAUGUAGGGGAGACUGGAAUUCCUGGUGUAGCGGUGAAAUGCGCAGAUAUCAGGAGGAACACCGAUGGCGAAGGCAGGUCUCUGGGCAUUAACUGACGCUGAGGAGCGAAAGCAUGGGGAGCGAACAGG